UGUUUAAAACGAAAUGUUGUAAUGUGUUUCGUCCAGUACAAGCCCUUGCGACUAAGAACUAAAGGGCGACUAUCAGUUGUUAUUUACAACGACUAAGAUAUAUGGUGCCCAUGGAAGACCACGGCGGAAUAAAAAAAAAGUUUACGUUCCCAAUUAGACGGAAAUAACAUGAUGGCGAACACACAGCAAAAGAAGAGACGGCAAAGGCAGAAGGGAACAAUAACAACAAAAGCACAAAAACUAAAAAAAAUCGCCGUAGUAAUAGAAUCGAGAUAAAUUUCGGGCACGAUGAUGAGCAUGAUGUCUCCCAAAGCCUGCACCAAGAAACCUCGUCGAAAUGCUGAUAAAAACUGAUAUCAGAUGACACUUUUUCAUCGGUGACAAAGCUUCCUGUAUAGGAAUGUCACUAACAGCAUCUUCGUUCCACGUCAUCUCUAACCAACAGCAUAAGGAGUGUAAUAGCUAUGCACCCUACCAGCACGAGGCAACAGUAUGGAAACACCGAACGAGAUUACCCACCCAAGAUUCUGGGAAGUACAGCCUAGUGUUUAUAGAUAUGAGAAGAUAUUAUCAUAAUUCUAAUUACAGAAACCAUGGCUUUCCGCUAUGGUUACGCUUUCAAAACCACACACAAAGAUAAAUAUUGGGAAUCAAUCACUUAUGAUUGACUUGCAACAAGUAAAAUCGGUCUUUGACUGGAAUAAAAUGUAAUUUUCCUGUAUCCCACUUUCCAGUAAUCUCUUUCUAUAUUUCCUUAAGACGGGACGGUGUGAAGUGAAUUAAUUGUCAACCUCUGAUACCUCUGAGGUGGAUUAAUUUCUUCUUUCACAAGGCUUCACAUACUAGAUGACAAGACUUUAAAGUGAAUCAUCUUUCACCCAAACAAGGCUCUAAGAAAUGGAUCAAUUUUCACCCAAACAAGGCUCCAAGAAAUGGAUCAAUUUUCACCCAAACAAGGCUCUAAGAAAUGGAUCAAUUUUCACCCAAGCAAGGCUCUAAGAAAUGGAUCAAUUUUCACCCUGACAAGACUUUGAAGUGAAUCAUCUUUCACUCAAACAAGGCUCUAAGAAAUGGAUCAAUAUUCACUCAAACAAGGCU
This 1098-nucleotide long non-coding RNA is filed under the name Penaeus japonicus. RNAcentral describes it as "uncharacterized LOC122250524". The record is from RNAcentral. Lineage: Eukaryota; Metazoa; Arthropoda; Malacostraca; Decapoda; Penaeidae.